CCGGCACGGGUGAGUAACACGUAUCCAACCUGCCGUCUACUCUUGGACAGCCUUCUGAAAGGAAGGAUUAAUACAAGAUGGCAUCAUGAGUCCGCAUGUUCACAUGAUUAAAGGUAUUCCGGUAGACGAUGGGGAUGCGUUCCAUUAGAUAGUAGGCGGGGUAACGGCCCACCUAGUCUUCGAUGGAUAGGGGUUCUGAGAGGAAGGUCCCCCACAUUGGAACUGAGACACGGUCCAA
This 238-nucleotide ribosomal RNA is filed under the name uncultured bacterium. RNAcentral describes it as "partial 16S ribosomal RNA". It matches the Rfam family "Bacterial small subunit ribosomal RNA", at positions 100 to 334 of the family's 1533-position model. The record is from RNAcentral.